This is a long non-coding RNA of Anas platyrhynchos (mallard), 453 nucleotides long. RefSeq lists it as uncharacterized. Lineage: Eukaryota; Metazoa; Chordata; Aves; Anseriformes; Anatidae. The record is from RefSeq and is a predicted model, not a curated record.
CUUCCUGAAGAGCAGAGGAACGCAUUCGUGGGAUUCCACAGCUGCGGCCGGGAGGGGAGGGACAGCGGGGCCAUUCAUCCCCUUGGCUUUAUUGAAAACAGAAUUGUUCAUUCGUGCCCAUCCUCAGCUUCAGGAAGUGUUACAAAGGACAGAUCCAUGCUGGAGCCUCGCCUGCAUGCUCCAGCCCCACGAGGGAUCCCUCUGGACUUCUCCCAUGGAGGCAGCUGGGGGAUGGCCUCGCAACACAUCCCAUGGACCCAGCAUCCCUUCCCAGCACCAUCUCGAGGAGGAAAACCCCCAAAUCAUACCAUGGCUCCCAGCAGCAGCCGAUGUCCUGCUCCUCACGUGUAGCAGAGGUGGCACGCGGUCACCUCCCGGGCUGGGCACCAGCUCCCAGCAGCGCUUCCAUAGAAAACCAGAACAUCGCAAACCAUAAAAUGGAAAUAAAAAUUU